AAGGCCUUCGGGUUGUAAAGCUCUUUCGGACGGAACGAAACGGUUAGGAUGAAUAAUCGUGACUAAUGACGGUACCGUAAUAAGAAGCACCGGCUAACUACGUGC
This 105-nucleotide ribosomal RNA is filed under the name uncultured bacterium. RNAcentral's name for it is "partial 16S ribosomal RNA". The record is from RNAcentral.